RNAcentral lists this ribosomal RNA (293 nucleotides) under uncultured bacterium. RNAcentral describes it as "partial 16S ribosomal RNA". It matches the Rfam family "Archaeal small subunit ribosomal RNA", at positions 455 to 747 of the family's 1478-position model. The record is from RNAcentral.
GUGCCAGCCGCCGCGGUAAUACCGGCAGCACAAGUGAUGGCCAAUCUUGUUGGGCCUAAAGCGUCCGUAGCUGGCCGAGCAGGUCCGUCGGGAAAUCCACGUGCUCAACGCGUGGGCGUCCGGUAGAAACUGGCCGGCUUGGAACCGGAAGGCUCAGAGAGUACGUCCGGGGUAGGAGUGAAAUCCCGUAAUCCCGGACGGACUACCGAUGGCGAAAGCACUCUGAGAAGACGGCUUCGACAGUGAGGGACGAAAGCUCGGGUCUCAAACCGGAUUAGAAACCCGAGUAGUCC